Molecule: ribosomal RNA, 133 nt
Filed under: uncultured bacterium
Lineage: Bacteria
Description: partial 16S ribosomal RNA
Source: RNAcentral
GGAGUUAGCCGGUGCUUAUUCCUAAGUUACCGUCAGAGUUCUUCACUCAGAAAAGGUCUUUACACCCCUAAAGGCGUCAUCAACCACGCGGUGUUGCUCCGUCAGGCUUUUCGCCCAUUGCGGAAGAUUCCUU